This 322-nucleotide ribosomal RNA is filed under the name uncultured Chloroflexota bacterium. RNAcentral's name for it is "bacterial SSU rRNA". It matches the Rfam family "Bacterial small subunit ribosomal RNA", at positions 28 to 351 of the family's 1533-position model. The record is from RNAcentral. Lineage: Bacteria; Bacillati; Chloroflexota.
GAUGAACGCUGGCGGCGUGCCUAACACAUGCAAGUCGAACGGGAGCCCUUGGAUUCGUCUGGGGGUGAGAGUGGCGGACGGGUGAGUAACACGUAGGUGACCUGCCCCAAAGCGGGGAAUAACCACUGGAAACGGUGGCUAAUACCCCAUGUGCUCGGUGGUUCGGUCCAUCGAGUAAAGCUCCGGCGCUUUGGGAGGGGCCUGCGGCCCAUCAGGUAGUUGGUGGGGUAAUGGCCUACCAAGCCAAUGACGGGUAGGGGGCGUGAGAGCGUGAUCCCCCACACUGGCACUGAGAUACGGGCCAGACUCCUACGGGUGGCAG